This 225-nucleotide ribosomal RNA is filed under the name uncultured Pantoea sp. RNAcentral describes it as "partial 16S ribosomal RNA". It matches the Rfam family "Bacterial small subunit ribosomal RNA", at positions 568 to 792 of the family's 1533-position model. Lineage: Bacteria; Pseudomonadati; Pseudomonadota; Gammaproteobacteria; Enterobacterales; Erwiniaceae. The record is from RNAcentral.
CACGCAGGCGGUCUGUUAAGUCAGAUGUGAAAUCCCCGGGCUUAACCUGGGAACUGCAUUUGAAACUGGCAGGCUUGAGUCUCGUAGAGGGGGGUAGAAUUCCAGGUGUAGCGGUGAAAUGCGUAGAGAUCUGGAGGAAUACCGGUGGCGAAGGCGGCCCCCUGGACAGAGACUGACGCUCAAAUGCGAAAGCGUGGGGAUCAAACAGGAUUAGAUACCCUAGUA